This 253-nucleotide ribosomal RNA is filed under the name uncultured bacterium. RNAcentral's name for it is "partial 16S ribosomal RNA". It matches the Rfam family "Bacterial small subunit ribosomal RNA", at positions 524 to 776 of the family's 1533-position model. The record is from RNAcentral.
UACAGAGGUCUCAAGCGUUGUUCGGAUUCAUUGGGCGUAAAGGGUGCGUAGGCGGCGCGGUAAGUCGGGUGUGAAAUCUCGGAGCUUAACUCAGAAACUGCCAUGGAUACUAUUUGUCUUGAAUAUUGUGGAGGUGAGCGGAAUAUGUCAUGUAGCGGUGAAGUGCUUAGAUAUGACAUAGAACACCAAUUGCGAAGGCAGCUCACUACACAGUUAUUGACGCUGAGGCACGAAAGCGUGGGGAUCAAACAGG